GCGAGCGUAGUCUAGUGGUUAUGAUGUCUGCUUUACACGCAGAAGGUCGGGAGUUCGAUCCUCCCCGCUCGUA
Parastagonospora nodorum SN15 is the source of this 73-nucleotide non-coding RNA. NCBI's taxonomy places the organism in Eukaryota, Fungi, Ascomycota, Dothideomycetes, Pleosporales, Phaeosphaeriaceae. The record is from the annotation of a RefSeq genome assembly.